CUCUCCACAAAGUUCUCUAUGAAAAUGAGAAUCUUGAUGAUGCUGCAUCGGCAAUCAACGACUAUUCUUUCCCUCUCUCUCUCUCUCCCUCUGUAUAGAUUAUUUGGAUUCCAUCCAGAUCUUCUUCAGGUUUUUGGCAGUCUUUAUCAAGACAUUAAUAGAUCCACAAGCUUCUAUUUCAACAAGUGAACAAGAGUCACAACAUCAAGAUCAGUAAGGUAAGAGAGAUCUACUUAAGGUAACUAAUAUAUAUGCCUUAUUUCUUAUGUUGCCAAUCCCACCUUGCAUUUCCAAAACAACACAAUAUAGUUUUGUUUUGUUAGAAACAAAAAAGGAUAUUAUAUAUGGAAGUUGAGAUAAUAUAUAUAACAGGUCUAUAUGGAACUAUUGUUGUCUAGCAAAGAAAAGGUUUUCAAGACACACUGUCAGUUCUUUGUUUUGUUGGUUGUUGUUGGCUAUUACAUUCAAAUUGAGAAUCAA
This 480-nucleotide non-coding RNA is filed under the name Arabidopsis thaliana (thale cress). The record is from RNAcentral. Lineage: Eukaryota; Viridiplantae; Streptophyta; Magnoliopsida; Brassicales; Brassicaceae.